Molecule: non-coding RNA, 593 nt
Organism: Girardinichthys multiradiatus
Lineage: Eukaryota; Metazoa; Chordata; Actinopteri; Cyprinodontiformes; Goodeidae
Source: the annotation of a RefSeq genome assembly
GGGCGACAUGAUCCAGUAGGCGGUGCUCUACCUGUGCUCUGUGCUCCAGCAUUGUGUCAAUAAUAAGUGGUGCUGUGAAGAGAACAAUUGUCAGACUGAAUGUUGAACAUCAGCUAGUUUCUCCUGCUGAUUUAAACCUUGUUGGACAGAUGGAACAUUGGCUGUGGAUUAUUCUUGCUGCUCUUUUCUUUGAGUGUAAAGGAGACACAGUGAAGCAGCCAGAAGGAGAUGUUGUUGCUGCUGAAGGAGAAUCACGGACUCUGGGAUGUACUUUUGAAACCAGCUCUACAGCACCUACAUUGUUCUGGUACAAAUUGGAGCUCAACAGUUCUCCAAAGUACAUGCUGAAACAAUACUAUCAAUCCAGAGAGAAUGCUCCAGAGUUCAGCAACGACAGAUUUCAAGCAGAGGUUAACAACUCAGCUUUUGAUCUGAAGAUCCAGGAUCUCCAUCUGUCUGACUCUGCUGUGUACUACUGUGCUCUGCAGCCCACAGUGACAGGAAACACCAGAACUCUGAACAAGAACCUGCAGAGUGAAAACAGGACAAUAUUCUACAACCUCCACUAGAGGGCCUCAUGAAUCAGGCUGCAG